RNAcentral lists this ribosomal RNA (253 nucleotides) under uncultured bacterium. RNAcentral's name for it is "partial 16S ribosomal RNA". It matches the Rfam family "Bacterial small subunit ribosomal RNA", at positions 524 to 776 of the family's 1533-position model. The record is from RNAcentral.
UACAGAGGUCUCAAGCGUUGUUCGGAUUCAUUGGGCGUAAAGGGUGCGUAGGCGGCGCGGUAAGUCGGGUGUGAAAUCUUGGAGCUUAACUCCGAAACUGCAUUCGAUACUGCUGUGCUUGAGGACUGGAGAGGAGACUGGAAUUUACGGUGUAGCGGUGAAAUGCGUAGAUAUCGUAAGGAAGACCAGUGGCGAAGGCGGGUCUCUGGAUAGUUCCUGACGCUGAGGCACGAAGGCCAGGGGAGCAAACGGG